UACGUAGGGUCCGAGCGUUGUCCGGAAUUAUUGGGCGUAAAGAGCUCGUAGGCGGUUUGUCGCGUCUGCUGUGAAAUCCCGAGGCUCAACCUCGGGCCUGCAGUGGGUACGGGCAGACUUGAGUGGUGUAGGGGAGACUGGAAUUCCUGGUGUAGCGGUGGAAUGCGCAGAUAUCAGGAGGAACACCGAUGGCGAAGGCAGGUCUCUGGGCACUUACUGACGCUGAGGAGCGAAAGCGUGGGGAGCAAACGGG
This 253-nucleotide ribosomal RNA is filed under the name uncultured bacterium. Its description in RNAcentral is "partial 16S ribosomal RNA". It matches the Rfam family "Bacterial small subunit ribosomal RNA", at positions 524 to 776 of the family's 1533-position model. The record is from RNAcentral.